CCUACGGGUGGCAGCAGUGGGGAAUAUUGCACAAUGGGGGAAACCCUGAUGCAGCAACGCCGCGUGAAGGAAGACGGUUUUCGGAUUGUAAACUUCUGUUCUUAGGGAAGCAGCAUGACGGUAGCUAAGGAGCAAGCCACGGCUAACUACGUGCCAGCAGCCGCGGUAAUACGUAGGUGGCAAGCGUUGUCCGGAAUUACUGGGUGUAAAGGGAGCGCAGGCGGGAAGCCAAGUCCGCUGUGAAAACUACGGGCUUAAAUUGUAGACUGCAGUUGAAACUGGUUUUCUUGAGUGAAGUAGAGGUAGGCGGAAUGCGGGGUGUAGCGGUGAAAUGCGUAGAUAUUAGGCGGAACACCGGUGGCGAAGGCGGCCAACUGGGCUUUAACUGACGCUGAGGCUCGAAAGUGUGGGGAGCAAACAGGAUUAGAUACCCUUGUAGUC
RNAcentral lists this ribosomal RNA (441 nucleotides) under uncultured bacterium. RNAcentral describes it as "partial 16S ribosomal RNA". It matches the Rfam family "Bacterial small subunit ribosomal RNA", at positions 338 to 795 of the family's 1533-position model. The record is from RNAcentral.